GGCUUUAUAGCUCAGUUGGCUAGAGCAUACGGUUCAUACCCGUAGUGUCACUGGUUCGAAUCCAGUUAAAGCCACCA
Molecule: transfer RNA, 77 nt
Filed under: Oscillospiraceae bacterium
Lineage: Bacteria; Bacillati; Bacillota; Clostridia; Eubacteriales; Oscillospiraceae
Also listed under: 1 other name
Description: tRNA-Met
Rfam family: tRNA
About the family: Transfer RNA (tRNA) molecules are approximately 80 nucleotides in length.
Source: RNAcentral